RNAcentral lists this ribosomal RNA (484 nucleotides) under uncultured bacterium. RNAcentral's name for it is "partial 16S ribosomal RNA". It matches the Rfam family "Bacterial small subunit ribosomal RNA", at positions 30 to 507 of the family's 1533-position model. The record is from RNAcentral.
AUUGAACGCUGGCGGCAGGCCUAACACAUGCAAGUCGAGCGGAUGAAGGGAGCUUGCUCCUGGAUUCAGCGGCGGACGGGUGAGUAAUGCCUAGGAAUCUGCCUGGUAGUGGGGGAUAACGUCCGGAAACGGGCGCUAAUACCGCAUACGUCCUGAGGGAGAAAGUGGGGGAUCUUCGGACCUCACGCUAUCAGAUGAGCCUAGGUCGGAUUAGCUAGUUGGUGGGGUAAAGGCCUACCAAGGCGACGAUCCGUAACUGGUCUGAGAGGAGGAUCAGUCACACUGGAACUGAGACACGGUCCAGACUCCUACGGGAGGCAGCAGUGGGGAAUAUUGGACAAUGGGCGAAAGCCUGAUCCAGCCAUGCCGCGUGUGUGAAGAAGGUCUUCGGAUUGUAAAGCACUUUAAGUGGGGAGGAAGGGCAGUAAGUUAAUACCUUGCUGUUUUGACGUUACCAACAGAAUAAGCACCGGCUAACUUCGUG